UUGCAGCAAGAGGGUUGGUGAUCUUUUGAAUUUUGCUACCAAAAGCAGUUUAGGAAACUACAUGUGGAAGAUGAUAAGGUGGUUCGGGAAUUUGUCUUGGGUGUAUAUGAUGAAGAGGCCACUGCGGCUUUCAACCAGAAUCUCUCCGACAUCUCCACAUUAAAAGAUCAUCGAUCAAAAGAUGCAUCACAAUUCACAAAGGUAUCACACUCGUCAAUAUUCGAAUGGAACCCUAUGUGAUCUUACUAAUCAGCCCCGAGAAACUGAGGUGAGAUUUGUCUGCUCAGAGCCGAGAGCAAUGAUUAGUUCCAUUACAGAGUUAUCCACAUGCAAGUAUGCACGUACUGUUCAAAGCCCUAUGCUAUGCAAACACCCG
This is a long non-coding RNA of Hibiscus syriacus, 376 nucleotides long. RefSeq lists it as uncharacterized. NCBI's taxonomy places the organism in Eukaryota, Viridiplantae, Streptophyta, Magnoliopsida, Malvales, Malvaceae. The record is from RefSeq and is a predicted model, not a curated record. The transcript is spliced from 4 exons.